AGUGAACGCUGGCGGCAGGCCUAACACAUGCAAGUCGAACGGCCGCACAGGAAGCUCUUGCCCUUACGGGUGGCGAGGGGCGGACGGGUGAGGCAUACAUCGGAAUCUUCUAUUUCUUGGGUGAUAUCGUAGGGAAACUGCCGCUAAUACCUCAUAUGUUCUACGGCUUAAAUCAAUAGAUCUUCGGACCUUUGGCGUCUCUAUUAGCCGAUGCCGCAUUAGCUAGUUGGCGAGGUAAAGGCCCACCAAGGCAACGAUCCGUAGCUGAGCUGAGAGGAUGAUCAGCCACACUGGAACUGAGACACGGUCCAGACUCCUACGGGAGGCAGCAGUAGGGAAUCUUCCGCAAUGGGCGCAAGCCUGAUGCAGCAACGCCGCGUGAGUGAUGAAGGUCUUCGGGUUGUAAAGCUCUGUUGUUGGGAAAGAAAAAAAGUGGAUGAAUCUACGCACGUUUUGACGGUACCCAAACAGUAAGCCCCGGCUAACUACGUG
RNAcentral lists this ribosomal RNA (492 nucleotides) under uncultured bacterium. Its description in RNAcentral is "partial 16S ribosomal RNA". It matches the Rfam family "Bacterial small subunit ribosomal RNA", at positions 29 to 507 of the family's 1533-position model. The record is from RNAcentral.